Molecule: ribosomal RNA, 405 nt
Filed under: uncultured bacterium
Lineage: Bacteria
Description: bacterial SSU rRNA
Rfam family: Bacterial small subunit ribosomal RNA
Source: RNAcentral
UGGGGAAUAUUGGGCAAUGGGCGCAAGCCUGACCCAGCAACGCCGCGUGAAGGAAGAAGGCUUUCGGGUUGUAAACUUCUUUUAUGAGGGACGAAUCAUGACGGUACCUCAUGAAUAAGCCACGGCUAACUACGUGCCAGCAGCCGCGGUAAUACGUAGGUGGCGAGCGUUAUCCGGAUUUACUGGGUGUAAAGGGCGUGUAGGCGGGAUGGUAAGUCAGAUGUGAAAACUCGGGGCUCAACCCCGAGCCUGCAUUUGAAACUAUCGUUCUUGAGUGUUGGAGAGGCAGGCGGAAUUCCGUGUGUAGCGGUGAAAUGCGUAGAUAUACGGAGGAACACCAGUGGCGAAGGCGGCCUGCUGGACAAUAACUGACGCUGAGGCGCGAAAGCGUGGGGAGCAAACAGG